Non-coding RNA from Callithrix jacchus (white-tufted-ear marmoset), 22303 nucleotides. The record is from RefSeq and is a predicted model, not a curated record. Lineage: Eukaryota; Metazoa; Chordata; Mammalia; Primates; Cebidae.
AGGUACUUACUGUGAUGCAGGAAAGGGUCUGGAAUCCUGAGGGUCCUUACUGGAGCCACCAUUCUGUGCUGGGAGAUCUUAAGUGCCAUUUGGUAAGCACACAUUUAGUACCUACUCUGUACCUAAGCUUGUGCUAAAUGUUGAGGAGGGGUCUGGAGAAAGAAAUUUUUUUUAAAAAAAGUAAAUUAAAAAAAGUAAAGUGGAAGAUUUAAACUUUAAAAUAAUUUUUGUGAAUAAUCCAUUCAGCAAAACAAUCUAUCCUCUGAGUUCUUGGAGGACAAUCUUGAUUUAUUUUUCUUCCCUUCAAUGAAGGUGAAUUGUAAAAUUUCUGCAUAUUACUGUGAGAACAUAUAUAUAAGAAUAAUUCAGAGUUUGGACUUUGGAGUUAAAUUAUCCUGGAAUUUUAAACAUUUACUAACUAUAUAACUUUGGGUACAUUAACUAGUCUCUUAAUCUUCAGUUUCUUUAUUAGUAAAAUGACAAUAAUAAUAGUCCUAGAUUGAUUAGGAUUUUUCCGAGUGUAAGACUAAUUCUAGCUUACCAUGAAUUUGGAAUUAAGAAAAUGUCUUGUUUCAUACUACAAGACACCUAGAGGCAGAGUAGGCAAAUCCAGCAGCUCAGUGAUAGCAUCUAGGACCCACAUCUCCCUGUCCCUCUGCUCAGGCAUCCUCAGCAUGGGUGCCAUGCUGAGGGUGAUUUCCCUGAGAUCCUAAGGCGGCUGCCAGUGGCACUUGUGUCUGUGUGCCUCUUUGUUCUUACCCAGUAUGACAGAACAGGAGAAUCAAUUCCUCCAAUCCUGGCACAUGUCCUUAACCUCCGUCUGUCUGAGCCAUGGUCAUGAAAAUCUUUCAAUUGAGUGACAGUGGGCAAGAGAAUCCCAUGCACCAAUUUGCUUCAUAAGUAAUCUGGCUGCCCCUGUAGGGUUAGGGAAGGGCUAGUUGCAGAACAAAUCAGGAUCUAAUUAGGAGGUGAGAGAGGAAAUGGAUGCUGGGAAGGCAGCCAGCAACAGCAUCCACAGGUUACCAUGAUAAAAGGUUUGUCAGGGGUCGGGCACAGUGGCUCACGCCUAUAAUCCCAGCACUUUGGGAGGCUGAGGCAGGUGGAUCACAAGGUCAAGAGAUUGAGACCAUCCUGGUCAACCCAUGGUGAAACCCUGUCUCUACUAAAAAUACAAAAAUUAGCUGGGUGUGGUGGCGCACGCCUGUAGUCCCAGCUACUUGGGAGGCUGAGGCAGGAGAAUUGCUUGAAUCUGGGAGGCAGAUGUUGCAAUGAGCCGAGAUCGCACCAUUGCACUCCAGCCUGGGUAACAAGAGUGAAACUAGGUCUCAAAAAAAAAAAAAGAGGUUUGUCAGGAAUAGAGAGAUGACACAUGGAAAGUUCUGAGCAUGUGCCUCAGCAUGAUUGUAGAUCACUCUAAUAAUAAGCAAAGGCGCAAAGCCUUCUAGGAAUUUCCUUCUGUCUCUGCUCCAAAUAAUAAUCAUUUUGCUAUGUUGAAACAUGCCCCAGGCACAGCACUCUGCUGAUGCUCUGGUGAAGUGGCAACUCAGUCACCGCCCCUAAGGAAAGUCUGCUCUUGCUGUAAACACUUCACUAUUGUUUAUGGCUUUUCCAUUUUAUUGCAAGUGCAUUCCCAGCAGUCUCUGAACACUGUGUUCCAGUGUCCUAAACAAACAUCCUUGUCAUGCCAUGAGAGGCAUUCACAUCUGAAGUGUCAUCUGAGAUUAUAAAGGAUGGCCAGGUCUGACUGCUGACGACCAUGCAUCGACCAUGCAUUGCAGCUUCAGGAAGCUCAGCUCAGCUUCUCUGACAGCCCUUGUGCUCAGGUUACCUUGAGGAACUCUGCUUGGUCCAAGCCAGCCAUGUGACUCAAGAACCUAAGAAUUCCAUGCACAGAGGAAUGGGGUUGCCAGGACAACUGACUACCUGGAGAACAUCACAGACUCGGCACUCGGGGGCUGGUCAGAGUUCAAUCCCAUUUUUAGUUUUCAGGUAGAGAAUACGGCACUGGGUCAAGGAAGAGAUAGGAAAGGGAGUCUCAGUCAUGGGUUUGAAAGGGAAAGUAACACCCUGAUCACCUCCCCCAGAAGGAGGAGAAGAGUGAGUGAUAGGACUGAUGAGGAAAAUGAUAAAGUGAUGACAGGCACAGUCCUGACUUAGUGACUGCUAGAUGCUACUGGGCAUACUUUGCACCUAUUGGCAGUGAGCCGGCAGUGUUAGUCAUAGCUCAGGCAAGCCCGUGGGGCUGCUGACAGUGGGGUGACACCAAGCACGCCUCACCGGCAGCCAUGUAAUGCCUGUGCUUCCAUCAUAUAUGAGGUUUUUAUUUGGGGGAGGAGUCAAUACACAUAUUAUUAUUGUAUUAUAUAUUUAUAUACAUAAGGUACAUAUUGACUAUUGACUCCCCCUUACAAAAAAAGAAAAGAUAAAUACCAAAAAGGUUACAGGAGCAUGUUCAUUGUUAGCUGGAGCCCUGAACCAUAUCAAAAGCAGGAAAAGACCAUUUUGAGGGAUGCAAGUACAGCCUCAAACAGCUUCAGAGAUGCAAAAAUGGAUGGCAGCAGUGAGAGAAGGCAGGAACAGAAGACAAGUGAAGUCCCUGAGAGCCUAAUUAGUUAUGCUGGCUUGUUCAUUUGAUGAGAGGUUGUGAAAGCGAUGGUGUCUGAAAGAGAAGGUACUGUGUACUUUAGACUCACGUCUCAACUGGAAUGCUGUCCCUCCUAGAAUCUCAGAUUCCUGGUUGUAAAGCCUCUGAGGGAUUUCUGGGUCACAAAGCUCUGAGAUAAUCGGCGAAUCAAAAAAUAAAUCUCCUAUUUGCAAACCAGCAUCCUUGCCAUGUGCAAUUCUGUUUCUCUAAGCAGAAGUUUCUCACCCCCAGAAAAUCAGGUACAUUAUCUGAAUUAAAAUCUAAGGGAGAAAUAAAAAGCAUACCUCAUGCUGUGUUGAUUUUCUCUAAUGAUCUGAUCCAUGCCCCCUUUUUGGGGUGGGAAGUUAUUACAGCCAUAAAUAUUUGUAAUUCUUUCUCUGAUGUAUUAUAUUUGUUAACAGCACCACAGGGUAGAUGCUGCUCUUGAGAAAAUAAGCACGUUGAAUGGUGGGGACUAAAGAGAGAAAACCAGGAAAGGGAGGUGAUCUCUCCUUGAGCAGGGCUCCCCAGCAGUGGCUUCCCCCAGCAGUGGGCCUCAGGGUUCUUCCUGAGCACUGGAGCAGGGGGCUUUAUAAAGGGAAGCCUCUUUAUUCCACCUCAGCCUCUGAUGCCAGCUAGCAUUGUGCUUUUUUGGACAGAGCAGUUAGAACUCUGGAGCUGUCUCUUCUUCCACAGGUUAUAUGAGGGAAGAUAAAAUAAGUUAGUAGAUGCAGAGAGAUUUUAUAAAGCAGUAAGCUCCACACCUACCCAUCUCAAUAAAGGGUUUGGAAGCUAAGCAAGCUACCCACUUCCUCUUCAGCCUCAUGGAUACAAUGAUUGGCAUUCUUCACUUCUCUAAUCCACAAGGCUUUAGACUCACACAAAUAUGGAUUAAAAUACCAGUUCCAUGAUUUGGGGCAAGUUACAUAACUCCUCUGAUAUUCAGUCUUUUCUUCUGUUUAGUGAGGGGAAUUACUAUUCUACUAAGGAUAAAGCAUGUAAUAUAUUUUAUAAAUGGUAGCCAUUAUUAUGAUAUGUGUUGGUUUCACUUUAUCAGUUCAGAUGGUUUCAGCUGCAAUUAACAAAAUCCGACUCAACUAGAAGAAACAAUGAAGAAAAUUUAUUUUCUCAUUGAAAAAGAAGUCUGCCUGUAGGACAGAAAAACAGCUUGAUAACAUCACUGAGGAUUCAAAUUCUGGCUCUGCCUGUCUUGACACUAAUCUCUUGCUUUUCUUUACAACAUGGCUUCAACAGUUGUGAAUGUUGUAGCCUCACCAAAAAUGUCCAAAGACUGCACCCUGAGGCAGAUCAAUGCCCUACCAAAGAAAAGUAGAUCUCUGAGGGGUAGCUAGAUAAAACCAUCUGUCACACCUCUUUAAACAAGGCUCAGGGGUAGAGACAUGAUAUUAUGUUGCCAAAUCUCUUCUAUGCUACCUUGAAAAGUACUAUGGGCACAUUAAACCUUCACUAAAGUGUUGCUACGAAUUAAAAACUGUUGCUGGAGGGCUCAGUUAUUUAAAAAUUGUCACGAUUAGCCGUCUUGAUCCUUUCUGUAGAAAGCUGUCCACUGUGGUCUAAUUUCUAAAACCAACAAAGAAUAGAAGACAGUCUAAUAAUAGAGAAAUAAAUAAUCCAUGUUGUCUUGUCUAGUUCUAGAGUAUUAAAAAUAAUUUUAAGUGACAUGUAAAAAUGCUAAUACAUAAUGUUAAGUGGGUAAUAUAAAGGAUGCAUACACCACAUUAUUUCCACUAAGGAAGGCAAAUAUAUGUACAAAAUAAAAUUAUGUAUAGGGAAAAAGAAUCUGCUAUAAGAAGGUAGACCAAAAUGUUGACAGCAAUUUUUCUAGGAUUGUGGAAACCUGAUAAAUUGGUUUUCCAUUUUCUUUCCCUGUAAUCAUCCAAAAUUUAUAUAAUUCACAUUUACUUUUCUAACAGGGAGAAAAAUAAUAUUUUAAAGCAAUGAUGCUUAGCCUGAUUGCAGAGAAUGCCCUCUUGACAUGAACCUGCAUGUAUAUUUAUAUCUUUCUAUUCCAUCCAAAUCAAUGUGAAGAGGCAGCCCAGACUGUAUGUGAAAAUCCUUGCAUCUCAUGCAUUUUUAACAGGGUUGUUGAAACAAGUGACAGAUGAGGGAGAGGACUUCUUUGCACUGAGAACAGGUUGCAUAAACUAAAAGUGAUACUGUCAUGAUGGUGACCACAGAAAUGUGGGUUAGGGGACUUUUCAGGGACUGCAAACGUAACACAAAAUUACGGAAGAUUUGGGAAACUACAGUUAAUAUCUAUGCCAAAUUACAGAGGAUUGACAUGCAUCCUUAUUAAGAGAUUUGUUCUGAUUACAAAAAGAUUAAAAUUCUUUAUGAAUUUUUAUUUAAAUUUGUGGGAGAGACAAGGUCUCACUAUAUUACCCAGGCUGGUCUUGGACUCCUGGGCUCAAGAGAUCCUCCCACAUCAACCUCCCAAAGUGUUGGGAUUAUAGGCAUGAGCCGCCACACCCAGACAGAGAUUGAAGUUCUAAGUAUGCCUCCAAAUCAAGAAGUUUGAUGAACUAGAUGAGAAAGUAUAAGGAAUUGCAAGUUGCCAGAGGGCCAGUUUGAAGUGAAGGUGAACAAUACAGUUCACCUCACGAUGGGUAAGUUGCUUAUGAAGAUCCCCUUCUUCUCCAAACACCUUUCCUAUAAAGGGAGGAUCAAAGCUUUUAAAAAGCCAAAUGCAUACUUUUCCUUUUCACACUCCUAUCCCACAACAAAGUGUUAGAAACAAGACAUACCAUUUUAAUGCAUUAUGAUAAGUCCUGGUUGUGUCAGAAUUCCACACUCUCCUCUGCUGCCCGGUGCCGUGUCUGAAAUGCCAACAUCAUGGCUUUACUCUGUUGAGCUUUGAGUGGUCCCCAGUUUCUUAAGGGUCCCCAAACUAUACUUUCCUGCUGGGGGAUAAAUCUUCAUCUCCUUGUCAGCAGCAUCUCAGGAGUUAAUAGCUGACUACCAGUGGGGAAGACCUCUGGAUAUGGAGUUGGGGAGGCAAGACAGGAGGAGGAAAGGGCCCCAACGACAACUUAUUCAAAGCUCUUGUCUGUCGUGUGCCUAAGCCUUCCAAAGACAAUUGUUCUCAUUAGUUGUUGCAGUCAUCUGAAGUUGUGCAUUACCUAAUUUCAUAGAAUCAAGGGGGAAAAAAAUGCCAAGCUCUAGAAUGGCCUGGGCAUUUCCCAUACAUGAUACUAUUUCAUCAUUCUCACUCUUCCAAACUGAAUUUGGAAGUUUUCACAUUAACGCAUGAUGGAUAUAAGAUUGAAGGCUAUGGUUUAGUUCUCCAACUCAGAUUCCUCCCAAAGAUUCAAGAACCUGAGAGAGAGCAUUCUCCAAAAGCUACCACCCUUUUUGCCCUGCUAGCUCCUGAAAGCCAUUAUGCUGAUGAUGAAGGACCCAGGGAAUAAAAGCUUAGGGUUGGACUGGAAACUGCAGCUUGCUUUUUGCUCCCUGUUUUCAGACAAAACUCUCUUGGUGACGUGUAUAAUUUGUUCCCUCUUUAACUUUAAAAAAGUGCCCUCUUUAAUUUUCUUGGUUUAGACAUCUCUUUUAAGAGUGAAAGGUCGACUUUUUAGAUGUGAAAUAUUUUAUAUCUGACCUUUUAUCCAUCAUUGCUAAGAUGAAUACAAAUGCCCUGAAGAAUAACUGAAAAAAGCAAUCAAAUAAGAUUAUGAAUUACACAGAAAAAAUAACACCUAAUUAAAGUGAUUGUGUGUGUAGUGCUUGGCAAACAGGUCAGUAUCAUUAAAACAAUGCUAGAAAGCAGACAGAAUAACAAGAGACGAAACUAACCCACAGAAAUACACACACACGCUCAUAUACACAUGCACUGAAUGAGCCACUGUUAAUUCUUGUGGAAAAAAACAGAAUCAUUAGAAUUGAAGCCAGGCUUACCGGUACCCAAUCAAAAUCUGAUGAUCAACUGUGCACUAUGGCAACAAAUGUUCUUAUUGCUCUUCACAGCAUAGUCAUUACCCUGUACUCCAGAAGGACAAUAAUAGGUAGAGCAACUCUAAACACUCACAACCUGCCCCUGUUGCCUUAGCAACAUGCAUGGUUUAUGAAGCACUUUCAUGCAUGAGAAGGACCCCGAAGGCUUCCUGUACCCAGAUAGGAUCAGUGUUCUGCUAGGCUCAGGUUAGGAAUGUAGGUCUCUUGAGGACAGCUAGCCAGACCUUCCUCAUAUCUCUCCUCAAUCUUUAGAAAAGGGGAUUGGGGAAAACCUCCCAACAUGCUACCUAGUUUACUCAAAAGAAUGUGCACUUUGGAGUCACCUAGCACUCCUUUCAAGUGUUGGCUCCACUGACAAAAAGCUGUGUGAUCUGGGCAAGCCAUUUGCAGUCAUGAACCUUAGAUUCCUCAUCUGUCAAGCAAGUGUAACUGCAAAGUCUACCUCUCAGUUUUCUGUGGGGAUUAACUGAAAUGAGUACCAUGCAUUUGGUAAAUGUCAGUUACCUUGCCACUCAUCUCUAGAACACUGGAGGACCUGAAGAAUUCAGUGCAGCAUGAUAACUUCUUUCUUUCUUUUCUUUUCUUUUCUUUUUUUUUUUUUUGUUUUUUGAGAGGGAGUCUUGCUCUGUCACCCAAGCUACAGUGCAGUGGCACAAUCUCACCUCACUGCAACCUCUGCCUCCAGGAUUCAAGCAAUUCUCCUGCCUCAGCCUCCUGAGUAGCUGGGAUUACAGGUGCCCACACCACAUCUAGCUAAUUUUUGUAUUUUUAGUGGAGAAGGGGUUUCACCACCUUGGCCAGGCUGGUCUCUGACUCCUGACUUUGUGAUCUGCCUGCCUUGGCCUCCCAAAGUGCUGGGAUUACAGGUAUGAGCCACUGCACUCGGCCAGAUAAUUUCUAACUGGUUGUCAUACAUACUUAGCUAAAAGUACAUUUGUCUAAUGAAAAUGUACUUAGACACCUAACAUGAAAUUAGACAAAAGCUGAGCUGUGGGGUCGGGAAGCCAGGAGUCCUUCAAUCCCAGCCAUCUGAGGGCGUCCCAGAAGCCCACGGGAAUCACAAAAAGAUAGUUUAUUAGUUGUUCUGGAUUAUCCUGGUGCUUCCUUUCACUUGCAUUGGGCUUGGUACUGAUUUAACUUCUUCCAAAGGGAGCUAUGUAUUUUCUCCAGCCACAGGCUAGGAAGUUACGGGAGCUGGGCUCUGCUCCUUACCAAACCAGGGCAGACAGACACUUGCAGGCACCUUGCAAAGUAAGCAAAUGUGUCUGUUUUUUUAAUCUUCCCCACAGUUCCCAGCGUGGGACUACACACCACGAUAAUCAGCACAGAGACCAUCUCCUUAAACUAUCUUGUUGAUUUUUCAAAACCCAGGGCAGAUUCACCCUCCACACAGAAUGUACUGAGCUUCUGGGUCCACACAGACUUCUUCCUUCAGUGUCCACCUCACUGAAUUGUUAAACUCUUGGGAUUUGGGGAAUCAUAUGGGUUAGCUGUCUUCCUAUGGUUCUCACUCCUCUUUACCCUCAAGUUUUCUCAAGUCAGUAGCCCUAGGGGAGCUGAGUACAAACAUGAUGGAAAGAAGAGAGCUGAGGCCUUCUCUCACAGUGCAAUUCUUUAUACUAUUUGUAGGCAAGGAGGUUCUGUUGAGACCUGAGCUAUGGAGGAUCCCGAUGAGAACAAAUCUAGUAGAAUGGUGAAGACAGUGGAUCCUGGGACAGUCUAGGUGUGAACCAUGGCUCUGUCAUUGAGUAACUCUGGUCCAUUUACUUCUCCCGGACUCGGUUUUCUCACAUUUAAAAUAAAAUGAUAGUAGCAGUGCUUUUCUCAGUCAUCAUGAGCAUUAAUAUUAUGGGAAGGCUUUAAACAGUGCCUGGCAUGUGAUAUGCAUUCAGUUAACUUCUCAUUGACACUUUACUCAGCAUUUUCUAAUGAUGUGAGUUAAUAUGAAUUGUCAAAAGUAAAAUAAAAGCACUGAACUCAGAGUAAGGAUCAAAAUUGUAGUUGUGAUUUCUCCAUCAAUUUGAUGUAUGACUUUAAGAAACUUACUUUCUCUUUUGGGACUCAGUUUUCCCCAUUUGAUUCAUCAUUUGGUGGGAAUAGAUGAUCUAAAAGACCUCCUGUUGGCUGGGAGUGGUGUCUCAUGCUUGUAAUCCUAACACUUUGGGAGGCUGAGGUAGGUGGAUCACCUGAGGUCAGGAGUUUGAGACUAACCUGACCAACAUGGCCAAACCCAUCUCUACUAAAAAUACAGAAAAUUAGUUGUGUGUGGUGGUAUGUGCCUGUAAUUCCAGCUACUCAGGAGGCUGAGGCAGGAGAAUCAAUUGUUUGAAUCCUGGAGGCAGAGGUUGUGGUGAGGGAAGAUCAUGCCACUGCACUCCAGCCUGAGUGACAGAGUGACUCUAUGUCUCCUAAGUAAAUGAAUGAAGACAUCCUCUUUUCUGUCUCUUUUGACUUUAGAUAAAGUGUGUGAUGGGGCAGAAAUGGCUGAUUCUAGGGUAAGCUGCCAGUCUUCCUCCCCAUGUCUGCUUCCUGUGCUGUGUACCAGAUAUUCAUGAUAUUCACAGAACAAACUCCAAUUCUCUGGUGAAAGGAUGGAGAUCUGGCUUAUAAAUGCAUGUGACACAUCUUAAAUUUAAAAAAUUAAUCCCAACCUUAUAAAAAAUCAAACUCUUUAACUUUUAUAGACAUAAGCACAUUAGAUCUAUUUUUGGGGCAAAUAUCCAAGCUCUGAUUCAUGGCCUCUCAUCUGGCUUCUUGUAUUCAUGGCAUGGCCCCAGCAAAAUAGGCAUGGGGGUCUAUGGCGAGGUGUCACUAAAAUAUAAAUGUCCCUUCAUUUCUAAUGGAUGCUGAAGAUUGCAGCUUAUAUCAUUAGGCUGGUUAUAAAAUAUUAAACAUUAAGUAAUCCAAUGUUACUCAAGAGCCAGAGCCAAGUUGAUGCCUUUUUCUUUCCCUGUUCAGGGAAAAUGGCCCUGAGUACCCAGACUGGCCCCUGAUAACUGGCAGGAUGUGAUGCCAGCACCUUUACUGUUUACUAGUGGUGGCGCUCCACUAAUGAGGGGUGGUCAGUAAGUGUCCCAGCCACUUGUCUUUCUUAGGGUUUGAUGAUGCUGACUGCUCCACAGCAAUGAAUGGCAGAGUGCCAAGCCUUCAAGCAACAGCUUUGACUUCUCCUGGGAGAGAUGUCCAGAGGAGCUACUCUUCUUCCCUAACUUUUCAGGAAGGGAAUCUUCAGAGGAGAUUCCCAGUGUGUGAUUUGUCAUGUAGAUAGGCUGUGGCAGAUACUUUUAGUGCCGCAUGUCAUGACCCCGCAGCCGCCUGAUUUCGGUGCUGUGAUGAUAGGUAAAUGUACACUGUCAGCAUUUCCAAUUCUUUUUGAGUACUUUCAGUUCACACUCAGGUGCUGCCCGGAAGUGUGGGGAAGGUAAUGCUCCUAGUGGUGGCUCUCCGCUAAUGAGGGGUGGUCAGUAAGUGUCCCAGCCACUUGUCUUUUAAAGAUAUAUUUUUGACAUGUAUUUUAUGUGUUUCUUCAAAGGGUCCCUGGCAGUAUUGAACCCCACUUUGACUGCAGCAGUAACUAGCCCAAUUCUGCACCUUUCAAUGGUUCCCUCCCUUGUUUCCAUUGCCCUCUCACUCUGGCUUCCUGAGGUUACCUCCCAAAUAAAUGACCUCCUCCAAGUUCUUGUCUCAGGCUCUGCUUACAAGGGAACCCACACCAACAUAAAGGUUUACCAUAUAGGAGGAUUUCUGGAAGGGGAAGGGAACUUUGGAAGCUUGAGUCCUGACAAAAAAAGCCAAAUAGCUCUAAAAUUCAGGUUCUAUGAAAAUAGCUGGGCUUGGGUUGUGCCACUUGUUCUUUGCACAUCUAACCUGGAUUUGCAAGGUUAGCGCAUUGUACCCAAUUGUAUAAGUUGGGCAUUGUUCAUAGGCCUCUAACCCUAGGGUUUAAAAUCAGCCACUUGCUCUGCUCACCAGGUGUAUUAAUCAGAGUUCUCCAGAGGGACAGAAUCAAUAGGAUGUAUCUAUAUAUAAAAGGGAAUUUAUUAGGCAGAAUUGGCUCACAUCAGUACAAGGCAAAGUCCCAAAAUAGGCCAUCUGCAAGCUGGGCAAAGAGAGAAGUUGUUAGCAUGGCUCAGUUAAUCUCCGAAAGCCUCAAAACCAGGGAAGCCAACAGGGCAGCCCUCAGUCUGAGGCUGAAGCACGGAGAGCCUCCAGGAGUUGCUGGUGCAAGUCCCAGAGUCCAAAGUCUAAAGAUCUGGAGUCUGAGUCCAGGGGCAAGAGGAGAGGAAGCAAGCACCUGGCAUGGGAAGAGAGAGCAAGAGAACUUGUAAAGCUGCUCAUCUCCCUUCUACCUGGGCUGGCAGCUGAUUGGAUGGUGCCCACCCACAUUGAUGGUGGGGCUUCCUCACCCAGUCCAUUGACUCACGUGUCUGUGUCCUCUGAAAAUAUCCUCAUAGACAUAACCAGAAACAACACCAGCCAUCUAGGCAUCCCCUCAGUCCAGUCAAGUUGAUGUCUCACAUUAACUGUCACACCAGACCACACCCUGAAGUGCCAGGCUGCAUCUGCCAAAACAAAACACUCCUUUUUCUUAAAAGUGUUGAUCAUUCCCUAGGCUGCAUGGCUUCAGGUUGACAUCUUCGCCAAGGGUAUCUGGGCAUCAUUUUCCAGUUCACACAAAGGCAUUUUAUAGGCUGGCUGUGGUCCUCAGUCACCUGGGCUUCUGCCCUAUGUCUGAUUGCUUCUAUUUACAAACCUAAGUCUGUAACCAAGACAGUCUCUCUCCCACAGCCCCUAUGUCUGUGGGAGAGUCUCUCUCCCACAGCCCCUAUGUCUGUGGGAGAGUCUCUCUCCCACAGCCCCUAUGUCUUCUGCCCUAUGUCUGAUUGCUUCUAUUUACAAACCUAACUCUGUAACCAAGACAGUCUCUCUCCCACAGACAUUUCCAUGUUGGCAUCUGCCUUUGGCUAAUGCCGACUCCUUCACUUGUUCUUCUUCCUGAAAGGUGCUUGUUCACCAGUGCUUGCUCUUUAAGUCUCCACUAUUUUUGGUUCGCUUCCAAGCUCGCAAUGUCACUUCCCUCCAAACCACCACUGGACUUAUUAGAUUCCAUCCAUCCAUUCAUUUAAUUGUAUAUUUGUUCUUCAAGAAUAUUUAAAGUGUUUUCAAUAAUGUGCUUGGCUCUGGGUCUACAGACAUGAAUCCAUUCAAUCCCUGUUCUAGUGGAAGAAUGAAACAAGCAGCAAGAGAAAGCACAGUGAUAGAGGGAAGCACAGGGGCUCUGGGAGCCAGGGCAGGGCCCCUCUCUCAGCUCAGGGGGCCAGUGACAACCUUGUGGGAGGUGGUGACAGAUGAUUACCAGAGCUGUCUUAACACUGGGUAAAGAGGGAGCGGGGGAGAUGUGGGGGACAAACCAAGAGAGAAGAGCAGGUUCAAAUGUGAGAGGACAAGAAAUGUACACAGAAGACUGUGAGCUGUUUAAUGCUGUUGCAUUAUCAAAUUGGAGGCAGGGGAGAGAGAGAUGAGGCUGUGGGAGGGGAAGCAAGGUCCUUUCCUCGAGGAAAGCCUGUUAAGAUGCUUAUACUCAAUGAGGUAAGGAGCAGGAAGACAUGCCAGCUGUUCAGCAAGGGCUUUGCUCUUGCUUAUCAUUUGCAAAUAAUAGAAAUUUCAUUCAUUUUUUUCAUUAUUUACCUGUUUUUUAUAUGGAUUGCUGUGUGUUUUACUGGGUUUGGAGGAACACUUGUCUGUAAUGAGUGGACGAGAAAUGUUGUGAAUAGAGACUUCAUCUUCUAAACCUGGAAGGUGCUGAGCAAAGGAGGAAGUUCAGAGGCUAUGAGUCACUCAGUCUACCCCCCACCCUUUCACACAGUGGGCACUUGGCUUUUCUUUUCUGGCAGAAAAAAAAAAAUUAUAGGAAGGAUCCCUUUGCCCUUCCUGUGGAGAUCGGCAGCAGACAGGGAGGAGUAAGAGCAGGAGAGUCCUUUAAUGACUUGGCAGUUGGCUGGGUGGAGGGCCUCAUUCCCUGUUCAUUUCCUCUAGAUCUUAGCAGAACCUUUGAAAAUUAAAGAAGCCGCAGCUGAGCAGAAAGAGGUUGGGUCUUGGUGUUUUAGUGACUUGUAUUCAAAACCAGGUUUAGGCUUAUGCAAGUUAUCAAAUUAUACUGAAUCUCCAAUCUCCUUUGCAAGGGAGUCCAUGAUCCCUCCCUGGGCUGUUACGCCGUUAAAGGAGACAAUACAGCUGUAAGAUCCUAGUCUAGGGCUUGACUCUGAGUGGGACCGCAGGUGGAGCUCAGCGAACGUCGGAUUGCUUCUCUUCACCUGCCUUUCCUUUAGGGGUCCCUUUUCACCUCUCUCUGCCUCUUUCUGUAAGUGCAUGAGCUUGUUGCCAAGGUACGUCAGCAGCAUCCACCUCCUCCAUCUCUCUGCAGAUUAAUCCACUUCCAUGCUACUCCCUGAGGACUUACUGAAUCAGCUCUGAUUAUGCAUUUCUCUUGGCAGUAACCCACCCUGUGACUUUUGGCAGGUCAUAUCUGCUCUCUGGGUCUUAGUGUGUCCCCCUGUAAAGGGGAUGAGUGGAACAGAUCAUCUCUGAGAGUCCCAAAUCUAACAUGAUAUGCUUGUAUGAGUCCAUGACUCUCCACGCUAGAAAAUAAAUCCCAGUGCCUUAAGCACAACAUGUAAGCUCUCCCAGGACCCCUGUGCCCAUGGUCUGACUACAAUUUUGCCCCUUGGUUCCUCUUUUCCACUAUUUAGUCCCUCCCUUCUUACCCCAGUAUCCUCUGCUACUGCCUUGGUGCCCUGCCACAUUAGGUAUCUCAUCCUCGUUUAUGCUGACUUUCAUCAUAAAAACUAACAGUAUUAGAGAGAGACUCUGUGUGUGUGUGUGUGUCUGAAUUAAUUUGAAAUUAUUGUGAGUAGGUAUUACUGAGGUAAAUAUAAAGAAAGCCUUAACUUAAUGUCAUGAAAUAGGUUGAUGAGUUAAUUUGAAUAGAUUAUAUAAAAAGUAGUUAGGACUGAAACACACUCCAGAAUUACUUGCAGCUCCGUAUUCAGUCUGCUGUUGGUACUUUUAUGAACAGAUCAGAUAAAGGCUGGAGAAACGUGAAAAAUGCACAUGGAUUUUAUGUCUGGAUGAUAUGUCACUUUGAUCAAGGAGAGGCAAACUAUUGUUAUAGAAAGUGUAAGAAGAAGGCAGGGAGUAGAAGCCUCAUUUUGACUUUAUCUUAGCCCUCCAUGUGACCUUGGAUGUACCUGCUUAACUUCUUGAGCCUCAGUUUCCUCAUCUAAAAAAUGAAAAUGCUCUUAUUUUUGGAGGAAUGUCACAAAUUGAGGGUGGUAAAACAUAUAAAAGUACAUCAGGAAGAGCAUCCAAAUGCUACCCCAGAGGGAGGAAGCGUUAUCAUGAAGUCAUUGCUUAUCAUCCAUUACAGAAAAGCUUUCUAGAAUAAGAAAAAACAGUCACCCACUCCAGCCACUGGGAAAUGAUGCAUUCUCGUGAAUGUGACCUGAAUAAAUGGAGGACAUGUGGCAGCUCUCAAGUGUAAAAAUGAAAGAACAGUGUUGGUGGUCUCAUUCAUCACUGCCCAGCUGAAAGUUUCUGCUCUGUAUUACUAGUACAUUUGCUUUUCUGUGAAUAGUGAGCACAUGGUAUUUGCUAAAGACCUGCUCUAUGCCAGACCCUGGACUAGAUUGUGGAGUUGCAAAUCGAAGGACAGGGUCCCCACCUUAGAGCACCUUAUAGCCACAUAGAGAGGCCCAUGAACAAAAAUAAUUUCAGUAUGUUCUGCUAAAGGACAGAAUGAAGGGACAUUCCACCAUGUGAGGCUGAGAGAAGGAUCACUGAUUUACCCCAGAGGAAUCAAGAAACCUUCACAAAGGAGAGGGCAACAGAAGUGGAGGGGAAACAGAAGGUGGCAGAUAAGAUGAGCCUUGGAGUUUGAGCUGAAUGUCAACAGGCAGAAGUUGGAAGGAAGGUGUGAGAAUCAAUGGGCAAGCAGCCUGAAGCCAGUCCAGCAAUCUGAGAAGCUGACCCUGAAAAUCAACCUUAUAUUUACCCCCAGAGCCUCAGGAAUGUGCAGUCAUUGUUGCCAUUUGUUGCUACCUCUUGGACAGGCAGACACAGAGCCUUGUCUCCAGGGGAGCUGGCUGAGUCCAGGAGAGUACAAAUCUCCGUAGAGGAAUGGCAAAGGGGGCCUCGCAAAGGAGUGACUGGAUCCUUGCCCUAGCCAGACAUUUCUUUGGCUGAAGGUUGCCCUGGUGGGGCCUCAAAAGCUGGAGAAUCUUUACCCUUUACCUGAAAAAGGCUGCUGCCUCUCCAGCUCUGUGAGUAGUAAGUUACACCCUGGUCUUGAUUAAAGUCCAAGCACAGGAUGGGCAGCCUGCCUUGGCCGUCCAGGCCCUUUGGACCUGGUGACUCAUUUGGUGGCAGGAAGUGGAGUCCAGCCACAAAAUUACUUGUUUAAGGAUUAUGUACUAUAUGGUGGUAGUAGUUAAAGAAAUAUACAUUUCAGUACCACCUUCUAUUCCUAAAAAUGGUUGAUGAUAGCAGGUAGCAGGUAGGGAAGUUGUUGAGAAAAUGCAGAGAUAUGUGUGCACUUGCUAAGAUGUGAAAGGCAAAAAGCCCCACUGAGCCUGGAAGUGGCUGUUCUCUGACCUGAGUCAAAAGGCACAGUGCAACCCCCAGUUCUGGAGCCCUCCCCUUCUCUGCAGGACCUGGGUCUGCAGUAGCCUAAGACUUAGAAGAUAGCUAGGGUUUCAAAGAGAGUUAAAGACAGAAGUCAGAUUGGAAGCCAUGGAGACUGCAUUUCUCACUUAUUGCUAUUUUUUGUUAUAAAGACAAUGGAGAAUACAGUUACUUACAAGAUCUUUCCAAGUGGCUGCUGGUUCCUGCAAUGCUCAAGUUAAUUGAAUCAUACACCUGUAAUUUUGGAGCCAUGGGCUUAGGGAAGUCAGUUCUUCAGAGAAAAGAGGAAGAAAUGAACUAACAAAAGCCUUGAGUUGUAGCUCUGUGUAUGUGUAUGGUGGAGGAGAGGUGGAGUGCCCCUAAUGGCCUUUUUUCUUCUGAUCUGCAGUGCUGUUGGGACCCCUCCCAUCCCAUAGAACUGGGGCUUCAAGACAUGCCAAGUCUAAGUUAAACUAGACACCAGAAAAUUGCUCUUUAGUAUUUUGCAGUGUCAUGGCUGGGGUUUUGGAAUCAAUUGAAAAACUAGGAUAAAGGAGCCAAUUACUGCUCUGUUGAUUACCAGUAAAUCUGUUGGCAAGUGGCAGUUAUUUGUGGGUGAAUCAGAUUAUGGAUGAAUGAGUUAUUGAUGAUCAGUACUAGCUACCAUGGAAUGCUGACUGUGUGCUGGGCACCCUGAAGGCACUUUAAACAUUUUAUCUCAUGUCAUUCUUAUAGUAGCCACAUAGAAUUGAUAUUCGUUUCCCCACUUCACACAGGUGGAAACAAAGCUCACAAAGCAGCUUUGUGGUAGAGACAGAUUUAAACUGAGGGGGAGCAACCAAUUACUCAGUGUUUCUGGAGCCCAGAGCGACAGAGAGGGAGAUGAGGCUGGACUAUGGUUAAGGAAGAAUCAUGAGGGGUCUUCAGUACCCUUCUAGGGGUCUCAGUUUCUUCUUCCUGGGUUUUCAGGCUCAGAGAAUCUCCUGAGGUGUGCAAGUCCCAGGGCAUAGCCAAACUUUCCCACUGUUCAGCACCCAGAUUCUGGGGCUCCAUCUGUCAUAGAAUCCCCCAACCCCCACCUAGCCAGGGUGGGGUUGGGAACUUAGCCUUUGCCAAGCAUGCAGACACCCCAGCUUUCAUCAGCCUGUCAGAGCUGGCAUAGACUUGCCAAGACUUUGUUGAAAACCAACUGCUUUCAAUGUAAUAAAAGCCAAAGUCCUGGAGGGGAGAGUUUUUGUAUCUUUAUUCAUGGGACCAUUUGCUGCUGCUCUGUGUGCUGCAGAGAAAUGGUCGCCAAAGGCUUUUCAGCAUUCACUGGACAACGGGCUAAUCGGGCUGCUGAGUACCCUUCAGUCACCAGGAACAAACUGCACAGCUUCACAGGUGAGAGAGGGGCUAGUGGUGCUCAUUGUCCUUAUACUCCCAUUGCCCCCCACACUUCCCCCACACCCCCACUAACUCAAGAAGGUGAACAGGUGAGGGGAGAGCUGAGCAGCUGUUUCCUCCCCAUCAGUAGCAAUUCUGCAGUCUCUGGAGGGCCGCAGCCUCACUUGAUGCUCAGCAGGCUGGAUUACAGGAUCCAGAUUUCAGGAAUGCGGGGCUUACUUCUCCGGAGCUGUCACUCAGUGUUCUAACUCUAGAGCUUCAGUUACUGCCCGUUCUAUGUUGUUGUGUGUAUUUAUUUCUGGGAUCUGCUGAAACAAACACACACUUAUUAGCUUAAACUACAGAAAUGCAUUGACUCUUGAGUCUGGAAGACCAAGAUUGAGGUGUCGUCCCAUUUGGUUCCUUGUGAGGGCUGUGCAAAAGGAUCUGUUCAGACCUCUCUCUUAGCUUCUCAUAGCCCCAGGCAUUGGUUUAUCAAUGACAUUCUCCCUAUGUCUUCAUAUUGUCUUCCUUCUUUACACUGUGUUCAAAUCUCCCCUUCUGUUAAGGACACCAUUUAUAUUGGAGUAGGGACCAUCCCAAUGAACUUAUUUCCACCUAAUCAUCUGCAAAGACCCUAUUUUCAAAUAAGGUUAUAUUCACAGGUAUCAGUGAGUUAGGAUUUCUUUUAGAGGACACAGUGCAAUACAUGGCAGUUAAGAUGCUGCCUUUAUGCCUGAAUCCGCAUGGGAGGAAGUAGAUACUGGUAAGUCUUACAGCUAAUGGAGAUACCACCAAGUCAUGGGGCUGGACUCGCCUUCAGUAUGAUUUCUUGAGCUCCAGAUUAGGCCCACAACUAAAGCAUCUCUGCAGAGAUGUCAUGGAAAGUGAGGCUCCACCAGCUGAUAUUUAAUGAGCAAUGCCCCCUUCAGAAGUCUUUGGAUACUAAUUGAGCUCUUACUCAAUUAGUAUUUGGUAAUUGAGUAAGUUAAACAUUAUAUUAAUUUAAUGUUAAUAAGUUAAUACAAUGUAAAGUUUAAACAUUAUAUUAGUAAUGGCCUAGAAUUAGUAUAUGGGGUUAGUGUGUGUUAACUGAUUUAACUCGUAUAACUUCCACAUGGAGCAGAGACUAGCAUGAUGCCCAGUCUGACAAAAGGGCAACUCUCGUGUCCAGAGUCACGGUGCUAGGGAGUGAUGGAGUUGGGGGAAAGCAAAGGCACUCUGGAUCCAGGGCCUGAGCUCUUGAUCUUAAAUUAUUGAAAAAUGCCAAUUUCUAGGCUUUUUUUCCCAGAGCAUAUCUGAGUUGGGCUCAGGAAUCUGAAUUUUAAGAGCACCUUCUGAUGGAGAAGGUCAUUAACCUUCAGGCCCUGGGACAGUACCAGCACCCUGGUUUUCUUUUUCUUUUUUUUUUAAUCUUUUAUUGCAUUUUAGGUUUUGGGGUACAUGAGCAGAGCAUGCAAGACAGUUGCAUAGGUACACACAUGGAAGUGUGUUUUGCUUCCUUUCUCUCCUUCACCCACAUUUGGCAUUUCUCCCCAGGUUAUCCCUCCCCACCUCCCCCUCCCACUGGCCCUCCCCUUUUCCCCCCAAUAGACCCCAGUGUUUAGUACUCCCCUCCCUGUUUCCAUGUGUUCUCAUUUUUCAUCACCCGCCUAUGAGUGAGAAUAUGCGGUGUUUCAUUUUCUGUUCUUGUGUCAGUUUGCUGAGGAUGAUGUUCUCCAGAUUCAUCCAUGUCCCUACAAACGACACAAACUCAUCAUUUCUGAUUGCUGCAUAAUAUUCCAUGAUGUAUAUGUGCCACAUUUUUCCAAUCCAGUCUAUUAUCAAUGGGCAUUUGGGUUGAUUCCAGGUCUUUGCUAUUGUAAACAGUGCUGCAAUGAACAUUCGUGUACAUGUGUCCUUAUAGUAGAAUGAUUUAUAGUCUUUUGGAUUUCUCUGACUGAUCUCUCUCUCUCUCCCCACCCCCCACCCCCUCCUUUAAGAAACUUAGUGAUAGAUCUCCGUCUGCAUCCAUUCCACUUUCUUCUCUAUACUCCAGCCAGUGGAAUCUAUUUGAAACACAAGUCUAGGGCCAUAGGUCUGUCUGACCCCCAUAGGUCUUGGAAUCAAAUCUGAAUCUAUAAUAUCACCUCAAGGGCCUCUGUAAGUCGACCCUGCUUAUGCCUGGGUUCGAGUCCCAGCUCUAUUAGUGCCUUACAGCCAGUGCUUUUAGCCCUCAGAGCCUCAUCUAUAAAGGAAGAGUAAUGACAUCUCUCCCACAAGGGUGGCAGAAAGAAUGAAAUUCGGAAAUGCACAUAAAAUGUCUAGUUCCACCCCUGGCCUCAGAGGUGCUCAGUGAAUGGUGCACUCCGAAUUGUCAGGUGUUGUGUGGCACUGAGCUUUUCAGAGAGCUCUUUUUUGUAGGGACCCUAUGAGAUUGUCUGAUAACUGGGCCAAGACAAGCACCCUUUAGUGCACAGGCCUGGCCACUAGUUUGCACAAGGCUUUUCCUGCCUGAGACCCAGAGGAACACACAUCUUGGAGACCAGAAGGGGAAGUGUUGGUGGUCUUUCUUCCAGGCCUGAAGAUACUCAGUGUGUGUAUGCAGCAUCCUCCUUGCUCCCCUAUAGCCUGACCAGCUACUAUCUUAAUCCAAUGUGCACUGAGCUUAUCUAUGUUUUCCAGAUGCUGGGGUGGACUUUAUGUGCUGUUACCUAAUGAGGUGGGGAGCACAGAUGAGUGUUCCUGCCAUCUGACACAGACCCUCAUAGACUGCUGUACUAGGAGGGAAUAGGAAUGUGUCACGCUAUGCAGUGGCUGAUCUGGGUGAAGAUGCCCUGUGCUAGCAGACAUGACCCACAGCCACACCAUCUGCUCACUGGACUCUGGUUCAUGUGUAGGCUCAAGGUGGACAAUCCAGGUUUGAGCAUGGUCCUCAGAACUUUGGUACCUUGUCUGUACCAUAAGGGGUUAGAUCGAAGGAUCUCAGGGAAGUUUUUCCCACUUGAACUAUUUGUGCUUUUUUGAAAUUUCAAGAAUUCAUCCCCCAUGACCAAUGUUCUGUGUGGAAGAUAGAAGAAUGCUGGCAGACUAUGGAUCUCUCUCUCUCUUUCUUCCCCAAUCCCUUUCUCCAAGGAAAUGGUAUUAAGACCAGAAGAGCCUCUUUGGAAUUAUAAUUGAGAUUUGUGAAAAGUAAUUACAGAGAUUUAAUUAGCUAAUUACUUACUCUUAGACUCUCAAAGCUAGAAUGGCCCAUCCAUCCCAGUGGUUUUUAUAUCUGACUAUGCAUCAGUAUCACCUGGGGAGCUUAAAAAGAUAACCAAUUCCCAGGCCAUAAACUAGACCUACUAAAUGAGAUCCCUGGGGCUGAGAACCAGGAGUCUUUGCAUCCAGUCUGGUGGUUUGCUCCCUUAGAACUAUGGGGGCCUUGAAACAGAGGCUUAGAUGUUCUGUCCUUAGCUAAAUGUUCUCUCCUUAGCUAAAUGGCAUUCAUCCUGUGGUUCCCCAGGGUUCACAUAGAGCCGCAUAUACUACUCAGAUAGUCUAUGCUAAACAAUUACACAUGACAUGGUUAAUGAACAUGGUUCUAGUGGCUGAACUGUGCUUAGUCUUAUACCCAUUUGUUCUUAGUGUUCUCAUCUCUAGAAGGCUUAGUCCAAGCAAUAGCAUGGCCUUAUGCGAGAAAAAGAGCCCAGGUUUUAGAAUUGAAUGUGGGUGCAGACACUGGCUCCCCCACACUCCAUAUGAUUUGGAUGUGUGACUUUGGGCACAUUACAGAUAUCCCUCAGACCCCAGUUUUCUCUCCUGAAAAUGAGUACAUGAUCUGGCAGGAUUUCCAUGAGAUUUGAAAGAGAUGGCGCUUAUGAAGUGAGCAGCAUAUGAUAUAAUGGUGCAAGUUUGGGCUCUUCUCCCCCUCCUCCUAUAGGCUGCAUGUAUCCUUUAGAAUAUUGUUUAAACUCAUCCUUGCCUAGCAGGUAUCCUCCUAAAAUAUGCAUUGCAUCUUAGCCCAGGCUAAUUUGUAAAGUAUGCCUGAGUUUAAGAUGUUCUCAUGUACUUCGUACAUAUACAUCACCUUCCCCCAGAUAUGGAAUGUGAUAGUAAUGGAUGCCGGCCAGAUUUGCAAAUAAAGGCUAGAGUGGGAAUGAAAAGAAUUAAAAACAUAAGUAUAGAAUAGGCUUUAUUUGGGCUAGAAGAUACAAAUAAUCUGUAUACCCAUGGAAUGAUUGUAUAUGCAAAGAGAAGGCUAUAAACCAUGUUAUUAAUAGUAGUUAUGCCUGGAGGACACAAUUAUGGAUGAUUUUUCAUUUCCUUUUGUUGUUUAAUAAACUUUAUUUUUUUAGAACCACUUCAGUUAUACAUAAAAAUGUCAAAUGAUGGUACAGAGAGUUCUCAUAAACCCACUCCUAGUAUACCCUGUUGUCAACAUCUUAUAUUGAUGUGGUACCUUUGAUACAAUUAAUGAGCUGAUAUUUAUACAUUAUUGAUAACUGGAGUCAGCACUUCACCCAGAUUUUCUAACUUUUUACCUAAUGCCCUUUUUCUGAUCCACGCUCUCAUUCUGCACAGGACAUUCCAUUUAGUUGUCAUGCCUCCUUAGGCUCCUCUUGAUGGCGAUAGUCGCUCAGACCUCCCUUGUUUUUGAUGACUUUGAUAGUUUUGAAGUAUACUGGUCAGGUAUUUUGAAGAAUGCCCCUCAACUGGGAUUUGCCUCGUGAUUUUUUUAUGAUUAGAGUGAAGUUAUGGGUUUUGAGGAGGAAGACCACAGUGGUAAGUGUUAUUUCCAUCACAUUAUAUCAAGGUACCUGAUUUAUCACUGUUGACAUUGACCUUGACCUCCUGGUUGAGGUAGCAUUUGUUAGAUUUCUCCAGUGUAAAAUUACUCUCCCUGACAUUUUUUUUUCCCCUGUGAUACUUUUACUUCCUUUUUAUUGCUCCAUAUUAUCUAAAGUCCUUUUUUCCCCAAUGAUCAUAAUUACUUGUAUAAUCAGAGAGAAAGGAACUCUUUUUAUUUUGGAAAACAUUGACCGUCUCAUAAGACUUUCAUCCUUUCCUUGUAUUUUGUCUUGGCCUGGUUUUCAGCACUAUUGCAGAGUCCUCCCCUAGAAGUCUCUGCUGGGAAUUUGGCCACUGGCAUCGGUUCCUGCUGAGUGUGCCUCAGCCCCAUGCUGCCUGCCUUGCAGAGGGUGUAUCCUGCAGAGCAACUUUCCAUGGUGUCAGAGUGAGCAGGCCCAUAAAUCAGUCAGGGAGGCUCCAUCCUCACUGUAAAAGUGAAGGGGACUUUCAGCCGCACUUUCUCCUUGCUGUCAAAGGUAAACAGGGCGUAAAUCUUGCUGAAGAAGAAGGUUUAUGUCCAGCCACCUGCAAACACUCCAGUUUUGAGGACAGUCUGCCUACACCUUGUUCCACUUAAAACAUAGCACCCAGCUCAGGACCAGGCACACUGUGUUCAAUUAUUGGUGGUAGUGGACCCCUGGGGCCCCACACAUCCAACGCCUUUUUGUCAGAGAAGCUAGUGAGUGAUACAUUGAAACCAGAUAGCUUUUACUACAGCAACAAUGUCCUGGACACCUGCAGCAGACACUGUCCUAAAAUUUACCAUCCUUAGUGAAUAUAUAUUUUGUGUGUGUGUGUGUGUGUGUGUGUGUGUGUGUGUGUGUAUAUAUAUAUAUAUAUAUAUAUAUAUAUAUAUAUAUAUAUUUCUUUUUU